Long non-coding RNA from Vidua chalybeata, 998 nucleotides. RefSeq lists it as uncharacterized. The record is from RefSeq and is a predicted model, not a curated record. The transcript has 3 exons. Lineage: Eukaryota; Metazoa; Chordata; Aves; Passeriformes; Viduidae.
CACUGGGGGCAGGGGGAGGCGAAGGUGUUUUUCUUGAGAGCUAAGCCACCUUGGAGCAGGAGGCCCUUGCUCCAGAUGAUCUCCUAGUGGAGGUCCCACCCUGACUCCUCUCGAGGCCUUGAAGGGAGUCCUCCAAACGCCACCAAGAAUGGCGCAUGGCUGCCAGCUUGAUUCUCCUGCAGGAACAUCAGCCGUGCCCAAGGAGCUGGUGAUCCCUGCUCACAGCAUUCAUUCCCAGCCUCCACUGGGCAUCCACAGUUCCUCAGCCUCUGCAGGGAGAAAGGCUGUGUCUCAUUCCCAGGCCUUCUUGGGGCAGAGCUCCCCCUUGCUGGGAGCUCAUCGCCAGCGGGGCAGUGAAGCCAACAGCUGCUUUCUCUGGCUGCAGCUUGGAGAGAUUUUGACCUGAUACUCUGCCCCCGCACAUCCCUCUCUGGCUGGAGCCCAGCGGGAAUAAGCAGAGACAUUCAGAUGAUGCAUCGCAGGAGAACCAUUUUAAUUAAAAGUGAUGCUUUGGUCAGCGGGGUACAGACUUCUUUGGGAAUAUAAGGAGGAGAAGUGAGCUGGAUGGAAAGCCACAUCCAGGCCCUGCAUGCUGCGCCUGCCCACAGCCAUAACCCUGGAGGAGUCAGAGGUGGAGCAGCCUCCAGCCUGGCACAGAGGCAGGUGCCAUGAUGGCAAGAAGUACCACACUCCUGUCCCAGAAAGGAUGUGUCCCACCACCUUCCCACCUUGGCCAGCAGAAGCCUGGCCAUGUGGUCAGCACUGAACCCACCACAUAAACCACAAUUACAUCUCAGGUAACAUGGGGAACACUUCCAGCCUGCACUGCUGGUUGCUGUGAAGAGCCAUAUUUACCAAUCAGCAAUAGCAAGACAGAGGGAGCAUGGCAGGAGGAUGAGUGGCAUAGGAUGGAGGUGGGAAAGUUAUGCAAUGCCAUGGCCAUGGCAAUGCCUGGUGAGACAGUGAGGAAAGGGUGGAGAGCGACUACGUGAUGCUUC